UGCAGUCGACGAUGAGCCCUUCGGGGUGGAUUAGUGGCGAACGGGUGAGUAACACGUGGGCAAUCUGCCCUGCACUCUGGGACAAGCCCUGGAAACGGGGUCUAAUACCGGAUAUGACCAUCUUGGGCAUCCUUGAUGGUGUAAAGCUCCGGCGGUGCAGGAUGAGCCCGCGGCCUAUCAGCUUGUUGGUGAGGUAAUGGCUCACCAAGGCGACGACGGGUAGCCGGCCUGAGAGGGCGACCGGCCACACUGGGACUGAGACACGGCCCAGACUCCUACGGGAGGCAGCAGUGGGGAAUAUUGCACAAUGGGCGAAAGCCUGAUGCAGCGACGCCGCGUGAGGGAUGACGGCCUUCGGGUUGUAAACCUCUUUCAGCAGGGAAGAAGCGAAAGUGACGGUACCUGCAGAAGAAGCGCCGGCUAACUACGUGCCAGCAGCCGCGGUAAUACGUAGGGCGCAAGCGUUGUCCGGAAUUAUUGGGCGUAAAGAGCUCGUAGGCGGCUUGUCACGUCGAUUGUGAAAGCUCGGGGCUUAACCCCGAGUCUGCAGUCGAUACGGGCUAGCUAGAGUGUGGUAGGGGAGAUCGGAAUUCCUGGUGUAGCGGUGAAAUGCGCAGAUAUCAGGAGGAACACCGGUGGCGAAGGCGGAUCUCUGGGCCAUUACUGACGCUGAGGAGCGAAAGCGUGGGGAGCGAACAGAUUAGAUACCCUGGUAGUCCACGCCGUAAACGGUGGGAACUAGGUGUUGGCGACAUUCCACGUCGUCGUGCCGCAGCUAACGCAUUAAGUUCCCCGCCUGGGGAGUA
Molecule: ribosomal RNA, 806 nt
Filed under: Streptomyces sp.
Lineage: Bacteria; Bacillati; Actinomycetota; Actinomycetes; Kitasatosporales; Streptomycetaceae
Description: bacterial SSU rRNA
Rfam family: Bacterial small subunit ribosomal RNA
Source: RNAcentral